Molecule: ribosomal RNA, 1743 nt
Filed under: Acinetobacter baumannii ABNIH16
Lineage: Bacteria; Pseudomonadati; Pseudomonadota; Gammaproteobacteria; Moraxellales; Moraxellaceae
Description: bacterial LSU rRNA
Rfam family: Bacterial large subunit ribosomal RNA
Source: RNAcentral
ACUUUGUAUACGUGGUAGGGGAGCGUUCUGUAAGCCGAUGAAGGUGUGUUGAGAAGCAUGCUGGAGGUAUCAGAAGUGCGAAUGCUGACGUGAGUAACGACAAAACGGGUGAAAAACCCGUUCGCCGAAAGACCAAGGGUUCCAGUCCAACGUUAAUCGGGGCUGGGUGAGUCGACCCCUAAGGCGAGGCCGAAAGGCGUAGUCGAUGGGAAAAUGGUUAAUAUUCCAUUACUUCUGUGUAAUGCGAUGAGAGGACGGAGAAGGCUAAAUCAGCCUGGCGUUGGUUGUCCAGGUGAAAGGAUGUAGGCAUGUAUCUUAGGCAAAUCCGGGGUACUCUAUGCUGAGAUCUGAUAGCAAGCUGUACUUGUACAGCGAAGUGGUUGAUGCCAUGCUUCCAGGAAAAGUCUCUAAGCUUCAGUUACACAGGAAUCGUACCCGAAACCGACACAGGUGGUCAGGUCGAGUAGACCAAGGCGCUUGAGAGAACUCUGCUGAAGGAACUAGGCAAAAUGGUACCGUAACUUCGGGAGAAGGUACGCUGUUGUUGGUGAUGGAACUCGCUUCCUGAGCUGACGACAGCCGCAGAAACCAGGCCGCUGCAACUGUUUAUUAAAAACAUAGCACUCUGCAAACACGAAAGUGGACGUAUAGGGUGUGAUGCCUGCCCGGUGCUGGAAGGUUAAUUGAUGGGGUUAGCGUAAGCGAAGCUCUUGAUCGAAGCCCCAGUAAACGGCGGCCGUAACUAUAACGGUCCUAAGGUAGCGAAAUUCCUUGUCGGGUAAGUUCCGACCUGCACGAAUGGCAUAAUGAUGGCGGCGCUGUCUCCAGCAGAGGCUCAGUGAAAUCGAAAUCGCUGUGAAGAUGCAGUGUACCCGCGGCUAGACGGAAAGACCCCGUGAACCUUUACUGCAGCUUGACACUGAACUUUGACCUUACUUGUGUAGGAUAGGUGGGAGGCUUUGAAGCUGGAACGCUAGUUCCAGUGGAGCCGUCCUUGAAAUACCACCCUGGUAAUGUUGAGGUUCUAACUCUGUCCCGUGAUCCGGGACGAGGACCGUGUCUGGUGGGUAGUUUGACUGGGGCGGUCUCCUCCUAAAGAGUAACGGAGGAGUACGAAGGUGCGCUCAGCGUGGUCGGAAAUCACGCGUAGAGUAUAAAGGCAAAAGCGCGCUUAACUGCGAGACCCACAAGUCGAGCAGGUACGAAAGUAGGUCUUAGUGAUCCGGUGGUUCUGUAUGGAAGGGCCAUCGCUCAACGGAUAAAAGGUACUCUGGGGAUAACAGGCUGAUACCGCCCAAGAGUUCAUAUCGACGGCGGUGUUUGGCACCUCGAUGUCGGCUCAUCUCAUCCUGGGGCUGAAGCAGGUCCCAAGGGUAUGGCUGUUCGCCAUUUAAAGAGGUACGCGAGCUGGGUUUAGAACGUCGUGAGACAGUUCGGUCCCUAUCUACCGUGGGCGCUGGAAAUUUGAGAGGAUCUGCUCCUAGUACGAGAGGACCAGAGUGGACGAACCUCUGGUGUACCGGUUGUGACGCCAGUCGCAUCGCCGGGUAGCUAUGUUCGGAAGGGAUAACCGCUGAAAGCAUCUAAGCGGGAAGCCUACCUCAAGAUAAGAUUUCCCUAGGACUUUAUGUCCUCUAAAGAGCCGUUCGAGACUAGGACGUUGAUAGGUUGGAUGUGGAAGCAUAGUGAUAUGUGAAGCUGACCAAUACUAAUUGCUCGUGAGGCUUGACUAUACAACACCCA